CAGCUGCUUUCCGCAGUGCUGCGACUCUCAGACAAUGCAGCGCCUGCAAAAUGCCUCCGACAGCUUUUUAGGGACACAGUACAGCAUUGGAUUUCUGUACACGAGAAAGGAGAAGACAGCUCAAGCCAAUUGAAGAGAAAAUUCGCCGAGAUCGUAUCAAUGCCAGCAUCGACAAACUGAAAACAUCAUUAUGCCAACAAAUGAAAGAAAUGAAGCCCAGCUUGAAGCUGGAAAAGGCUGACAUCUUGGAGGUGACCGUUCAGCCCAAGCGGCAAGAAGGGCUUCAGCAAUUGUCUACAGGAGACCUUCAGCUACCUGUCUCUACACAUCCCUCAGCAACCAUCUGAGCAAGUAGCCAUUAGGAGUUUCUCUACAGACCAAGGGACUACCUUCCAGAAAACUGCAGCAACCAAGAUCAUAUCAAAUUCUGCUGCAGGUUCAUCACAGUCACACCAGCAGUGUCAGGGAACUCUGUGGAGGCCGUGGCAGAUGAAUGGACAGUUUGCCAUGGAAGACCUUCUCUAAUCAGGGAGCUUCCUGGUUCUAUAAGGACAUUCUCAGUGAACUCAGGUUUGAUUUUACUUCUGUUCACAGUACUUCAGGUAUUUCACUCUGCACCUCUGUAACUUAUGCUCU
Molecule: long non-coding RNA, 636 nt
Organism: Paramormyrops kingsleyae
Lineage: Eukaryota; Metazoa; Chordata; Actinopteri; Osteoglossiformes; Mormyridae
Source: RefSeq, a predicted model, not a curated record